Biomphalaria pfeifferi is the source of this 300-nucleotide non-coding RNA. The record is from the annotation of a GenBank genome assembly. Lineage: Eukaryota; Metazoa; Mollusca; Gastropoda; Planorbidae.
CCCCCCCCCCCACACACACACUGUAGACCAUGUUUUUACAUUGACCUACCAUAGUCAGAGUUAUAAUUUGUUUAAACUUAAGUCUUUUUUCUCUACGGUUUCAUUUUGUCUGUUGUCACGUGUUGUCUAAGUGUCAACAAAAUGGUUUCUCUGAGCAACGACUACUAUUACUCUAUACAGUAGAUAUUGUUACUUUAACCAAUGAAAAUUAACUCUCAUUUUUUUUAAAUCAUUUUUUUUUUUUCAAAUCCAUAUCUUUAUAACUUUUUAAAGUCCUUUGUUCAUUUCCCCCCCCCCUCA